CACGUAGGGCGCAAGCGUUGUCCGGAAUUAUUGGGCGUAAAGAGCUCGUAGGCGGUCUGUUGCGUCCGCUGUGAAAACUCGGGGCUUAACCCCGAGCCUGCAGUGGAUACGGGCAGACUAGAGGUAGGUAGGGGAGAAUGGAAUUCCCGGUGUAGUGGUGAAAUGCGUAGAUAUCGGGAGGAACACCAGUGGCGAAAGCGGCUACCUGGCCCAUUCUUGACGCUGAGGCGCGAAAGCUAGGGGAGCAAACGGG
RNAcentral lists this ribosomal RNA (253 nucleotides) under uncultured bacterium. RNAcentral's name for it is "partial 16S ribosomal RNA". It matches the Rfam family "Bacterial small subunit ribosomal RNA", at positions 524 to 776 of the family's 1533-position model. The record is from RNAcentral.